Long non-coding RNA from Acanthopagrus latus (yellowfin seabream), 369 nucleotides. RefSeq lists it as uncharacterized. The transcript is spliced from 3 exons. NCBI's taxonomy places the organism in Eukaryota, Metazoa, Chordata, Actinopteri, Spariformes, Sparidae. The record is from RefSeq and is a predicted model, not a curated record.
CAUCGGCGGGAGAAGAAAAAAAAAAAAAAACACUGUAUCCUUCCCACAACCACAGGAACUUUACGGAAUGUGACUUUCCAGGCAUGAGCCUGCUUAGAAGAAGAAAUGUCUAACUGAGCUCAAAAUCAAGAGGAAGUCACGAGGUUGCCAGAUUGCGGAUCAAAGGCUGAGUCUAUCUCCCUCAAUGAAGCUAGUGAAAAACUUUUAUGGUGACUCAGUGAAAGCUGCUCCUGAUGCCAGUCAGCGGACUCAGACAGGAUGGACCCCCUGAUGGGAACAGUUGCAGCCCUCUGCCAGAGGAUCAACUUACAUCCAUCAGUGCUGCAAAGAUAAGACGUGAAAUUAAAUAUUGGAUCUAGAUUGUUCACU